RNAcentral lists this ribosomal RNA (404 nucleotides) under Verrucomicrobiota bacterium. RNAcentral describes it as "Verrucomicrobia bacterium partial 16S ribosomal RNA". It matches the Rfam family "Bacterial small subunit ribosomal RNA", at positions 355 to 776 of the family's 1533-position model. The record is from RNAcentral. Lineage: Bacteria; Pseudomonadati; Verrucomicrobiota.
UGGGGAAUAUUGGACAAUGGGCGCAAGCCUGAUCCAGCCAUGCCGCGUGAGUGAUGAAGGCCCUAGGGGUGUAAAGCUCUUUCACCGGUGAAGAUAAUGACGGUAACCGGAGAAGAAGCCCCGGCUAACUUCGUGCCAGCAGCCGCGGUAAUACGAAGGGGGCUAGCGUUGUUCGGAUUUACUGGGCGUAAAGCGCACGUAGGCGGACUAUUAAGUCAGGGGUGAAAUCCCGGGGCUCAACCCCGGAACUGCCUUUGAUACUGGUAGUCUUGAGUUCGAGAGAGGUGAGUGGAAUUCCGAGUGUAGAGGUGAAAUUCGUAGAUAUUCGGAGGAACACCAGUGGCGAAGGCGGCUCACUAGCUCGAUACUGACGCUGAGGUGCGAAAGCGUGGGGAGCAAACAGG